GUCUAUGGCCAUGUCACCCUGACCACGUCUGAUCUCAUCUGAUCUUAGAAGCUAAGCAGGGUCAGGCCCGGUUAGUACUUGGAUGGGAGACCACCUAGGAAGACCAGGUGCUGUAGGUG
Molecule: ribosomal RNA, 119 nt
Filed under: Pteropus alecto (black flying fox)
Lineage: Eukaryota; Metazoa; Chordata; Mammalia; Chiroptera; Pteropodidae
Source: RNAcentral